RNAcentral lists this ribosomal RNA (387 nucleotides) under uncultured bacterium. RNAcentral describes it as "bacterial SSU rRNA". It matches the Rfam family "Bacterial small subunit ribosomal RNA", at positions 30 to 416 of the family's 1533-position model. The record is from RNAcentral.
AUUGAACGCUGGCGGCAUGCCUUACACAUGCAAGUCGAACGGUAACGGGCCUUCGGGUGCCGACGAGUGGCGAACGGGUGAGUAAUGUAUCGGAACGUACCUUUCAGUGGGGGAUAACGUAGCGAAAGUUACGCUAAUACCGCAUAUUCUGUGAGCAGGAAAGCAGGGGAUCGCAAGACCUUGCGCUGAUUGAGCGGCCGAUAUCAGAUUAGCUAGUUGGUGAGGUUAAAGGCUCACCAAGGCGACGAUCUGUAGCGGGUCUGAGAGGAUGAUCCGCCACACUGGAACUGAGACACGGUCCAGACUCCUACGGGAGGCAGCAGUGGGGAAUUUUGGACAAAUGGGGGGCAACCCUGAUCCAGCCAUGCCGCGUGAGUGAAGAAGGCC